CACUAACCUAAUCCCUUCUCUCCCUGCCUUGAGCUCUGAGCUCACAAACCCUGAGGCUUCUGUGACUCCAACAAAGAGGAUGCUCAGAUUUCUACCAGCUUGGACACAGCAGCCUCAUGGCAUGAGGGGGGGAUUUGCUGCUGUUCACAUUGCAGUGACAUGGAGGUCUUUAUGGUCUUACAUUUCUGCUUAUCUGAUCCACCCCUGCCCUCCACACUCCUGGCAUGGUGCUAAUACUGAAACGCUUUUCCUCCCUCUGUUUGUGCCCCCCUCAGAGGAGAUAAUAUCCAAACACAAAAAAACCCCAGGUAGUCCCCAGUUAAGCCUGGACAUUAUUCCAUUUGAUCUGCUAGUAACAAAGCAGGAAAGACCCUGGGGCCCAAGGACUACUGGAUAAUGCUACAUCUGUGCUACUUUAUCAGUCUUGCACAAGGACAAACGAGCAGCAAAAGGGAACCUCCCUUCUCUCCCGUGGAGUGGAGUCUACAAUCAAGCAGCCAAGGCAGAGGAACAAGCCCUUGUCAGUCUGUAUGCACAGCCUGGCUGGCAGAGUGCAUUUUCCUUAACAUGUCUAAUCCCACAAGUAUGUGGUGGCUUGCUCUGCAGAAACCUCAGCUUUUCAGGAACACACCCUGUCACUGUUGGGACUUCACCAUGCUGAGUACUAUCCAGAGCUCACAGCCAGACGUGCUCCACCACAAACAGCCUGAGAGGGAAAAAUAAAGCCCUGCCUAUUUGCUUUUUGCAACAGCACAGAUGUCAG
This 763-nucleotide long non-coding RNA is filed under the name Cyanistes caeruleus (blue tit). Its description in RNAcentral is "lncRNA (ENSCCEG00000007031.1)". The record is from RNAcentral. Lineage: Eukaryota; Metazoa; Chordata; Aves; Passeriformes; Paridae.